Moniliophthora roreri MCA 2997 is the source of this 85-nucleotide non-coding RNA. The record is from Rfam. Lineage: Eukaryota; Fungi; Basidiomycota; Agaricomycetes; Agaricales; Marasmiaceae.
UGCCCCAUGGCUGAGUUGGUUACAGCGUCCGACUGUUACGAUAUAAGCAAUCGGAAGGUCGUGAGUUCAAGCCUCACUGGGGCAG